RNAcentral lists this ribosomal RNA (478 nucleotides) under uncultured Entrophospora. RNAcentral's name for it is "SSU rRNA". It matches the Rfam family "Eukaryotic small subunit ribosomal RNA", at positions 569 to 1045 of the family's 1831-position model. The record is from RNAcentral. Lineage: Eukaryota; Fungi; Glomeromycota; Glomeromycetes; Entrophosporales; Entrophosporaceae.
AGCAGCCGCGGUAAUUCCAGCUCCAAUAGCGUAUAUUAAAGUUGUUGCAGUUAAAAAGCUCGUAGUUGAAUUUCGGGAUUGACGUGAUGGUCGUGCCUUACGGGGUAUGAACUGUUGCAGUCAAUUUCUCACCUUCUGGAGAAAUAUGAUGUCCUUAAUUGGGUGUCAUGUGGAACCAGAACUUUUACCUUGAAAAAUUAGAGUGUUUAAAGCAGGCUUAUUGCUCGAAUACAUUAGCAUGGAAUAAUAAAAUAGGACGGCAUGGUUCUAUUUUGUUGGUUUCUAGGAUCACCGUAAUGAUUAAUAGGGAUAGUUGGGGGCAUUAGUAUUCAAUUGUCAGAGGUGAAAUUCUUGGAUUUAUUGAAGACUAACUACUGCGAAAGCAUUUGCCAAGGAUGUUUUCAUUAAUCAAGAACGAAAGUUAGGGGAUCGAAGACGAUCAGAUACCGUCGUAGUCUUAACCAUAAACCUAUGCCGA